AUUGAACGCUGGCGGCAUGCCUUACACAUGCAAGUCGAACGGCAGCGGGGGAGAAGCUUGCUUUUCCUGCCGGCGAGUGGCGAACGGGUGAGUAAUACAUCGGAACGUGCCCUGUAGUGGGGGAUAACUAGUCGAAAGAUUAGCUAAUACCGCAUACGACCUGAGGGUGAAAGUGGGGGACCGCAAGGCCUCAUGCUAUAGGAGCGGCCGAUGUCUGAUUAGCUAGUUGGUGGGGUAAAGGCCUACCAAGGCGACGAUCAGUAGCUGGUCUGAGAGGAGGAUCAGCCACACUGGGACGGAGACAAGGCCCAGACUCCUACGGGAGGGAGCAGUGGGGAAUUUUGGACAAUGGGCGAAAGACUGAUCCAGCAAUGCCGCGUGUGUGAAGAAGGCCUUCGGGUUGUAAAGCACUGUUGUCCGGAAAGAAAUGGCUCUGGUUAAUACCUGGGGUCGAUGACGGUACCGGAAGAAUAAGGACCGGCUAACUACGUGCCAGCCGCCGCGGUAA
RNAcentral lists this ribosomal RNA (508 nucleotides) under uncultured bacterium. Its description in RNAcentral is "partial 16S ribosomal RNA". It matches the Rfam family "Bacterial small subunit ribosomal RNA", at positions 29 to 523 of the family's 1533-position model. The record is from RNAcentral.